RNAcentral lists this ribosomal RNA (497 nucleotides) under uncultured bacterium. RNAcentral's name for it is "partial 16S ribosomal RNA". It matches the Rfam family "Bacterial small subunit ribosomal RNA", at positions 28 to 507 of the family's 1533-position model. The record is from RNAcentral.
GAUGAACGCUGGCGGCGUGCUUAAUACAUGCAAGUCGAGCGAACAGACGAGGAGCUUGCUCCUCUGACGUUAGCGGCGGACGGGUGAGUAACACGUGGAUAACCUACCUAUAAGACUGGGAUAACUUCGGGAGACCGGAGCUAAUACCGGAUAAUAUAUUCAACCGCAUGGUUCAAUAGCUAAUGACGGUUUUGCUGUCACUUAGAGAUGCAACCGCGCCGCACUGUCUAGUUGGUAAGGUAACGGCUUACCACGGGGACGGUGCGUAGCCGCCCUGAGAGGGAUAACGGGCACGCUGGAGCGGAGACACGGUCCAGACGCCUACGGGAGACAGCAGUGGGGAAUCUGCCGCAAUGGGCGAGAGCCUGACGCAGCAACGCCGCAUGAGUGAUGAAGGUCUUCGGAUCGUAGGAAGAAGUUAUUUGGGAAGAACAAAUGUGUAAGUAACGAUGCACGACUUGACGGUACCUAAGCAGAAAGCCACGGCUAACUACGUG